This is a long non-coding RNA of Macadamia integrifolia, 641 nucleotides long. RefSeq lists it as uncharacterized. NCBI's taxonomy places the organism in Eukaryota, Viridiplantae, Streptophyta, Magnoliopsida, Proteales, Proteaceae. The record is from RefSeq and is a predicted model, not a curated record. The transcript has 3 exons.
UAUAAUCCAAGUUAUGGUCUAAUCAUUCUUCAGGCUGCCUUGAAGUAGUAAGAAAACUGUGAGCUACAUAGAACUUAGAUAACAGGGUGUUCAAAUUGAAGUAUAGGUAGUCACAUACAUCAGUAAAAGGAACCAGAUCCUUUCCUUUGCCCAGGAGAGGAAGGAAGGUGAGAAAGGAUGAACAAAAAGUUUGGUGGAGGGAAGCAACCAAUUGGAACACCAUCGUUAGCAUGGUCAUCCGUUGUGGUUGUUGUUUCACUUUUAGCAGGUGCCUCUGUUGUGCACAAUAUCUUCAAGCCUGACUUGACAUUGCCAGCGAUGGAGAAUGUCACUGGGACUAAGGAACAAGCCCCUGGAAAAAAUUAAUAGUCGUCUCUUCAAGGCUCAAUAUGAAUUUCUGAGAUCGUUAGACUGCAGAUUGCAGUAUCUGGACUCUUGACUUACCAAAAUGAAGCAGGUUCUGGGAUUGUUCCUUCUUGUGGAUUCACAUUUUUCAUGUCGAUUUGAUUGGCAUCACAUGUCGUCAUGAACGGGGACAUAGUUUUGAUCUUUAAACUUAAUUAUCACCAUUUCUAGUGUACUCUUUUUCAUACCCUGUUCUGGGUUUCAUUACAAAGAAAAUUUAUCUCGUAUUUCUGACA